AGUUGAAAGUGGAAGCGACGAUAGCCCAGUUUUAAGUUUAGGGGCAGCAACAUUGUGCAUUUGAGCUUCUCAGGAUAAGUCACCAAUGGCAGCUGGGUUAGCUUUAUCCAUAGCCGUAACUCCAAAAUUGAGGUUAAUUUCCCACCAAAAUCAAUCUUCUGCACAAAAGGAUAAAUAUCAAGUAACUGGUAGCUGGAUGAAAACAGCUAUCUUCAGCUACCUAGAAGAUGAACUACAUUAAAGAAGCUGCUUGUGGUAUCUUUGGUAUCAACAGUAUCUUGGCUCCUUCAGCUUUUUUCUGUUAUAUGCAUAUUCUUAUUCACCACUUGAUUUUGUGCUUGAUGAAAAGGGGUUGCUUGAGCGACUUUUAUUGCUAUCUGAUCCUGAAAUUACCUGCAAAAGAUCAUUACUUUUUUAUGUGUUUGAAGGUUCUUCUUCAUGGUGGGUAUGCCAAUCAACAUUGCUGACAUUCUUCCAUCUGCAGCAUUCUCAUGAUAUUUUCUUGAAGUUGAAACUGUUUUCAAUUUGCUUUUACAAAGAUGUUCUUAUAUCACUUACUUGAGAGCUAGAUCGACUUUCACUAGUUGGGCUUCUUGGGCUGCUUCCAAAAUGCAUUGGUUGCAUUGCUUCUUCAGCAAGUAAACGUAACCUGUUAAGUUCAGGCAAAAUUACAGUGCCAAGAUCUGGUCGGUCUUUACGCCUGAGUUCUGCACACUUGAGUGCUAACUUGGCAAACGUUAAAGCCUCUUCCACAGGCCAGUCAGGAACUGCUGGAUCAAGCAUAUCAGCAAAAGUGCCUUUCUCAAUUGCCCUCUCAACAUGGAUCUAUAUAACAAAAUGUUCCCGCUGUUGAUGUCAUUCGGUACUGUGUCACGGAGUCAGCUAUAGAAGGGGGGACGAGCCUAGCUAAACCAACAUCGCUGAUCUUACUUACAUAGUUGCGGUCAAGCAAAAUGUUGCCAGGUUUCAGAUCCCUGUGCACUAGAGGUUCUGGCUUGGUCUGGUGAAGGAAAAGGAGGCUAGUUCCGACCUCUGCAGCUAUACGAAAUCUCAGUUGCCAAGGAAGAACUUGAGUGCUUCCUCUUCGGAAGAGGCGAUCAUCUAAGCUCCCAUUGGCCAUGUACUCAUACACUAGGCAGCCAAAUUCAGGGCAGGCUCCAAGUAGAAGAACCAUGUUUGGAUGCCUUAUGCAGCUUAGAACUUCAACCUGCAUCAGAGCAAAUGAAAAGGGGCAUGAGAGAAUAUAACCUUUUCGGGAACUACUCUAUGACUAAUUGGAUUUGCUUGAUAUUCCUGUAGUUGAUGUUGAAAUGCAUACCAUGUUGCUGGGUGAAGACCAUGAUCCAUUGCCACUAUCAAAAGAAUUUGAUGAGAAGCCAUUGGCUUCAGAUAACCUGGUUGCUGAGAAUGAUGAUCCAAAGCUUAGUCUGCUCUCCGUUUCUGAGCUGUUUGAAAGUCGUGGAGCAGAAUAUUUAGCAUCUGUGUCUGAGCUGUUUGAAAGCCGAGGGGGAAGACCCAAAUCGUGACUGCUAUCCAUAGAGAUUGGAAAUGUAGAGCUUGGACGACCAGAGCUCACAAAUGAUAAAUCAGAUUCUGCCACUGAGAGGUGGAAAAACAGACCUUUUGUGUCGCUGCUGAUUUGUGCAUAACGUGUAUCAGCGAAGCCAAGCUUAGCACCUAGAGAGGAGGUGGAAUGAUUCUGCUGCGAGGGAGUUGGUGAACUGGGAACUGGAGAAGAUGCAUUCUUUGUCGAUUGAAUUUUGCCUUUGGCAAUCACAAAAACUGUGCAAAAGUCAGCGCCCACCACUAGAUUCUCUAUGACGUUGGCUGUAACAUAGUCACUUAUGGAGGUCGCUAUGUCUAUGCCUUCAAUUACAACUUCAUUGACUUGAAUCUACGACAAAGAGAUAUAAGAUGAUUCAGAAAAUGAAACGACAUCUGCAAGAACACGAGGAAGAUUGAACGUUUAAGCAGCAACGUGCACUUACAUUCUUACGGGUG
Molecule: non-coding RNA, 2001 nt
Organism: Solanum lycopersicum (tomato)
Lineage: Eukaryota; Viridiplantae; Streptophyta; Magnoliopsida; Solanales; Solanaceae
Source: RefSeq, a predicted model, not a curated record